Molecule: ribosomal RNA, 274 nt
Filed under: uncultured bacterium
Lineage: Bacteria
Description: partial 16S ribosomal RNA
Rfam family: Bacterial small subunit ribosomal RNA
Source: RNAcentral
AUACGGAGGGUGCGAGCGUUAUCCGGAUUUAUUAGGUUUAAAGGGUGUGUAGGCGGGAGCCUAAGUCAGUGGUGAAAUCUCACAGCUUAACUGUGAAACUGCCAUUGAAACUGGGUUUCUUAAGUAUAUUUGAGGUAGGCGGAAUGUGUAAUGUAGCGGUGAAAUGCAUAGAUAUUACACAGAACACCGAUUGCGAAGGCAGCUUACUAAGCUAUUACUGACGCUGAUGCACGAAAGCGUGGAUAGCGAACAGAAUUAGAAACCCCAGUAGUCC